Molecule: long non-coding RNA, 621 nt
Organism: Cajanus cajan (pigeon pea)
Lineage: Eukaryota; Viridiplantae; Streptophyta; Magnoliopsida; Fabales; Fabaceae
Source: RefSeq, a predicted model, not a curated record
CAUCAUUCUUGCUCGCUUUGCAGCAAUUCCAGUGACUCUUGGUAUCUGAGCAAUUUGCAAGCACAAACCAUUACUUGCACUUGCUCAUUAAUCAUAUUACCCAUCAUGGUUCGUGCAUUGGGAAACCUUACACCUAGAAUCUUUCUUCAAUCACUGAAUUCCAUAUCUCGCCAAGCUACAUCUUCGCUCAAAAUAAGCGGAGGAGCAAGAGUAUCAGAUCACAGCCCUGGAAAAACUGAUGACAGAGGAGUGUCAGAUGACGCCACUCAGGGGAGCGGCGGAAAAAGUAAUCGUGUGGGGCAAUGAAGAAUUCAGAAUGAUAGCAGUUAGCAAUUUAGAAAGCUGCUUUAAGACUAGUGAUUUUGAGUGUUCGUGAUUAUGAGUGAUUUGGUAGCAUGCAUAAGACAGUAGUAUGAGUGAUUUUGCUUUUUUUGUUUUGAGUAAAUAUAUAUGAGUGAUUUGGUAGCAUGAAUAAGACAGUAGUAUGAUGAGUGAUUUUGCUUUUUUUGUUUUGGGCAAAUAUAUGUGUGUGAUUUGGUAUCAUAAGACAGUAGUAUGAGUCGUUUUGCUUUCUUUUGUUUUGGCUAAAUAUAUAUAUGAGUGAUUUUGCUUUGUGCUUCA